This 927-nucleotide ribosomal RNA is filed under the name Curvularia hawaiiensis. RNAcentral's name for it is "SSU rRNA". It matches the Rfam family "Eukaryotic small subunit ribosomal RNA", at positions 170 to 1106 of the family's 1831-position model. Lineage: Eukaryota; Fungi; Ascomycota; Dothideomycetes; Pleosporales; Pleosporaceae. The record is from RNAcentral.
CAUGCUGAAAAUCCCGACUUCGGAAGGGAUGUGUUUAUUAGAUAAAAAACCAAUGCCCUUCGGGGCUCUUUGGUGAUUCAUGAUAACUUUACGGAUCGCAUAGCCUUGCGCUGGCGACGGUUCAUUCAAAUUUCUGCCCUAUCAACUUUCGAUGGUAAGGUAUUGGCUUACCAUGGUUUCAACGGGUAACGGGGAAUUAGGGUUCGAUUCCGGAGAGGGAGCCUGAGAAACGGCUACCACAUCCAAGGAAGGCAGCAGGCGCGCAAAUUACCCAAUCCCGACACGGGGAGGUAGUGACAAUAAAUACUGAUACAGGGCUCUUUUGGGUCUUGUAAUUGGAAUGAGUACAAUUUAAACCUCUUAACGAGGAACAAUUGGAGGGCAAGUCUGGUGCCAGCAGCCGCGGUAAUUCCAGCUCCAAUAGCGUAUAUUAAAGUUGUUGCAGUUAAAAAGCUCGUAGUUGAAACUUGGGCCUGGCUGGCGGGUCCGCCUCACCGCGUGCACUCGUCCGGCCGGGCCUUCCUUCUGAAGAACCUCAUGCCCUUCACUGGGCGUGUUGGGGAAUCAGGACUUUUACUUUGAAAAAAUUAGAGUGUUCAAAGCAGGCCUUUGCUCGAAUACGUUAGCAUGGAAUAAUAAAAUAGGGCGUGCGUUUCUAUUUUGUUGGUUUCUAGAGACGCCGCAAUGAUUAACAGGAACAGUCGGGGGCAUCAGUAUUCAGUUGUCAGAGGUGAAAUUCUUGGAUUUACUGAAGACUAACUACUGCGAAAGCAUUUGCCAAGGAUGUUUUCAUUAAUCAGUGAACGAAAGUUAGGGGAUCGAAGACGAUCAGAUACCGUCGUAGUCUUAACCGUAAACUAUGCCGACUAGGGAUCGGGCGAUGUUCUUUUUCUGACUCGCUCGGCACCUUACGAGAAAUCAAAGUUU